UAAAAAAAGACAUUUUAAGCAACAAGUUUUAGAUCAGCUUGAUCAGUUAAGGGAUCAUGAUCCCAAGAAAUAUUGGAAACUCAUAAAUUCACCUAAAGAACGUAAAAAUGAUAACACUCUGGAUUCAGUCAAGCCAGAUGAUUGGCAUGAAUAUUUUUCAGAGCUCAAUAAGCCAUCAAAUUUACAAAGUAAUAGAAUACAUGAAAUAAAGUCUGA
Molecule: long non-coding RNA, 216 nt
Filed under: Mytilus galloprovincialis (Mediterranean mussel)
Lineage: Eukaryota; Metazoa; Mollusca; Bivalvia; Mytilida; Mytilidae
Source: RNAcentral